Molecule: long non-coding RNA, 1224 nt
Filed under: Equus caballus (horse)
Lineage: Eukaryota; Metazoa; Chordata; Mammalia; Perissodactyla; Equidae
Description: lncRNA (ENSECAG00000048678.1)
Source: RNAcentral
CUUCUAUUAAACAAAGGAUUCUUUGAUACAGUGCAGAAAAAUAUGUACUUUGAUGAGCACGAAAUUUGAAGAGAAGGAGCAUCUAAAACUUAAGAGGAAAAGGAAGAAUUAGAAAAAAUAAUUGAAUUAUCUGAAAAACACAAAUAAUAUCAGCUUUCCUAAGUCACUGUAAAAUAUAGAAAUAAAUGACUAAUGACAUACUACUUAUAAAUAGCCACUAAAAUUCUGACAUUUUUAGAGCUAACGCAUUUAUUAUAUAUUCCAUCACGAAUAAGUUGGGAGGCCAUAGUAAUGAGCCAGGACCCCUGACCUCUGCAGGGAGCCCUGACCCAAACCCAGAAACUGUCUCAGACACUCUCAAGGCAUCAUGGGUCAGAAUCAUUCCUUCCUAUAGGGAAAGUGUGGAGCCAGUAGUGAAUGGAGGGAUUGGGAAGCUGGAUAUGGGAGAAGAACCCGGGGCUCAGGGGCCCUUCACAGAGCAGGAAAGUGCAGGGAGGUGCUCCCCCUGGUGGCUGUUGGGUGAUGCUGCUUGACCCAGGUCAGAGCUUUCCCUGGGCUGUGCUGUUUACCUCUGAAGGACCAUGCUGAUGCACACUGCCCACCAUGGGCUAGAGGAUCAAUGAGUCCCGUUUCAGUGGGUCCAGUAACUUCAUUUUCCUCUCCCGCAGUGUGUCAAGUCUCCACCUCUAGAAGCUCACAAGCUCGCUCUGCGCUUGGGGCGUCCGGCAUGUGGCUCAGUGCGUCUUCAUAGCUGCUGUCCCCCAAUUCUGUGUUCACCAUCGCCCAGAGAUUUCAGUCAUCUAGUCUCAUCCCAGAUGCCCCCUGGGGUCAAGCUUGCAUAUCCACCCAGCGAUAAAUACCAAGCCCCAGCUCGUGGUCGUCCACUCCUCUGCAGCUUCUCAAGGUUGCCCCAGGACUCUGAAGCACCAGCAUUCUUUCCAUCAGCAUCACUUUGGAACGUGGUUAGUGACGUAACUCAUCGGUGAACAACAUGGGCUGUAAACUCUGACUUCAUCUUCGCAAACCGGGUGACCUCAAACAAACGAUAUCCUUCCUCUGGAGCUGUUUUCCAAUCUAUAAAAUAAGGAUAAUUUAAGUACGUGGCCAGCAUGAUUGCUGUGAGUAUUAAAUGCGAUGAUGCCUGCAAAAUACCGGUCUGUAGUGACUGUGCAGUAACUGUUAGCCAUCAGUACUAUUAUUCAUCUGCUGGAAAAUUCUAUGAGG